This is a long non-coding RNA of Oreochromis niloticus (Nile tilapia), 329 nucleotides long. RefSeq lists it as uncharacterized. The record is from RefSeq and is a predicted model, not a curated record. The transcript is spliced from 2 exons. Lineage: Eukaryota; Metazoa; Chordata; Actinopteri; Cichliformes; Cichlidae.
CACACGGAGAGGGCAGGUCAGCGAGCAACGGGCAACCACUACAUCUGCAGCAACUGCUAUUACGUCUACAAUUACUGCAACUGAACCAAACCCGCUAAUCUACGGCGGCGGCGAUCUUUGCUCACCUGCUGACACGAGCACCACGGCGGUGAAGAGUCCGAGCUCCUCGCUGUCCAGCUCCAGCGCCGCCAGCUUGUGGCUGAAGUCAAACAUGGCUCCCAGCAGGUCCCUCAUGCCCAUUGCUCGCAGCUCCUCCAGGCUGUAGGUGGCGCCGGAGACGAACGUCACCGUCUGCUCCUUCAUGUUAAACAGCGACGCAAAACGCACCA